This is a non-coding RNA of Rattus norvegicus (Norway rat), 1177 nucleotides long. The record is from RefSeq and is a predicted model, not a curated record. NCBI's taxonomy places the organism in Eukaryota, Metazoa, Chordata, Mammalia, Rodentia, Muridae.
UGCCCAGGAGGCGCAAGGCCCUGGGUUCGGUCCCCAGCUCCGGAAAAAAGAAAAGAAAAAAAAGUCAAAACGGAAGAAAAUAGCUGCGAUGCUGCCUUUAAGAAGCCUCGUGGUGAGAGCACCAGUGAGAGAGAGGAUGAUGGGAAAUUCAUUCCGUUGGUUGGGUUUGGGGUGCCUGUGGAAGUGAGAGGCUUAAAAAAGAAAAUCUUCUUUCGUUAUCUGCAAUGGAGAGAGAGCUAAGAGGGCCGACGAUGAUUGACAGGAGCCAGGGAUGCUACGGAAGCAACAGCUGAUGGUUCUUGAAGCGUGGAAAGGGAGGGCUUACUCAGCGUCAGCUCCCCGGCUGGGACCUGAGAUCUUUGGCCCUACUGGCUUGACAGCCCUCUAAAAUCUCUCUGCCUAAAGUUUCCCUUCUCUGAUUCCUUGCAGCCAUCUACUCUCCUCCAGUCUCAGCUCUAGGCUUUCCUUUGCCACCCUUCUAUCUCCAUUGCUCAUCUUUCUUCUCUGGCCUCCCUUGUGUUACUCAGCGGCUGCUCUGUUAGCUAUCAGACAGUAGAUUGCCUUGCCGGACCAAGGUCGUUCUUCACCGACGUUCUUACCUCUGAUGCCGCUCUGCUUCCUCAGCUGCUUCUCUCUCUGCUUCCGACUCAUCAUAUCGCACUUCCGAAAAGAGUCAUGAGAAGCCUUUCAUUGGGGCUAAUGGUGUAACACGAGGAGGACCAGCACAGGAAAGUAUCUCCCAGCUCACUCUGAGCCUAGAUAGCCUACUCAAGUAGCCAGAGGGGUAUGUGUGUUGGGGAGACGGACCACUCACAGCAAUAGACUUUCAGCUCAGCAGGGAGAUCACUCUUCAUUUAGCCCAGGUGGAAGCCACUGCAGGGUCAUCCAGAGAUCACUUAGAUUUAGGAUAACCCAAAGUCUUGUACUGCCUGUUUCAAACAGGCCUUCUGGAGACUAUGCCUUCAGGGACCCAGGAGAUCAGCUCCAAACAUUGUGUGGUUUUUCUCCAUCUAGUGUUCAAGAAUGCUCUUGCUGGUUUUUUGACUGACAGUCACUAAGGGAACCAGGGAAACACAGAAGAAUCCAGCAACUGCUAAAGGGAAGUCAGAUGGCUCCAUUCCCCCAACAUCUUCUCUUGCUUGCAGAGAAAUAAACUAAAGUGUGCUUACACUAUAAA